GACGAACGCUGGCGGCGUGCUUAACACAUGCAAGUCGAACGGAAAGGCCCUGCUUUUGUGGGGUGCUCGAGUGGCGAACGGGUGAGUAACACGUGAGUAACCUGCCCUUGACUUUGGGAUAACUUCAGGAAACUGGGGCUAAUACCGGAUAGGAGCUCCUGCUGCAUGGUGGGGGUUGGAAAGUUUCGGCGGUUGGGGAUGGACUCGCGGCUUAUCAGCUUGUUGGUGGGGUAGUGGCUUACCAAGGCUUUGACGGGUAGCCGGCCUGAGAGGGUGACCGGCCACAUUGGGACUGAGAUACGGCCCAGACUCCUACGGGAGGCAGCAGUGGGGAAUAUUGCACAAUGAGCGGAAGCCUGAUGCAGCAACGCCGCGUGCGGGAUGACGGCCUUCGGGUUGUAAACCGCUUUCGCCUGUGACGAAGCGUGAGUGGCGGUAAUGGGUAAAGAAGCACCGGCUAACUACGUG
This 468-nucleotide ribosomal RNA is filed under the name uncultured bacterium. Its description in RNAcentral is "partial 16S ribosomal RNA". It matches the Rfam family "Bacterial small subunit ribosomal RNA", at positions 28 to 507 of the family's 1533-position model. The record is from RNAcentral.